CCUACGGGAGGCAGCAGUGAGGAAUAUUGGACAAUGGGCGCAAGCCUGAUCCAGCCAUGCCGCGUGCAGGAAGACGGUCCUAUGGAUUGUAAACUGCUUUUAUACAGGAAGAAACACUGGUUCGUGAACCAGCUUGACGGUACUGUAUGAAUAAGCACCGGCUAACUCCGUGCCAGCAGCCGCGGUAAUACGGAGGGUGCAAGCGUUAUCCGGAUUCACUGGGUUUAGAGGGUGCGUAGGCGGGCAGGUAAGUCAGUGGUGAAAUCCUAGAGCUCAACUCUAGAACUGCCAUUGAUACUAUCUGUCUUGAAUAUUGUGGAGGUAAGCGGAAUAUGUCAUGUAGCGGUGAAAUGCUUAGAUAUGACAUAGAACACCUAUUGCGAAGGCAGCUUACUACGCAUAUAUUGACGCUGAGGCACGAAAGCGUGGGGAUCAAACAGGAUUAGAUACCCUGGUAGUCCACGCCCUAAACGAUGGAUACUCGACAUACGCGAUACACUGUGUGUGUCUGAGCGAAAGCAUUAAGUAUCCCACCUGGGAAGUACGUCCGCAAGGAUGAAACUCAAAUGAAUUGACGG
This 578-nucleotide ribosomal RNA is filed under the name uncultured bacterium. RNAcentral's name for it is "bacterial SSU rRNA". It matches the Rfam family "Bacterial small subunit ribosomal RNA", at positions 338 to 916 of the family's 1533-position model. The record is from RNAcentral.